CAAUAGCGUAUAUUAAAGUUGUUGCGGUUAAAAAGCUCGUAGUUGGAGUUCUGCCAGGUGCCGCCUGUCCGCCCCAGUGGUGAGUACGUGGCGCGCAUUUGGCCCUUUCAAGGGGAGCGUAUCUGCACUUUAUUGUGUGGUGCGGGAUCCUUGACUUUUACUUUGAGGAAAUAGGAGUGUUCCAAGCAGGCUCUCGUCGUGCACAGCUCAGCAUGGAAUAAUAGCAUUGGACCUCGAUUCUAAGCUGUUGGUUGCCAGAAGCGAGGUAAUGAUGAAGAGGGAUAGUUGGGGGCAUUCGUAUUUAACUGUCGGAGGUGAAAUUCUUGGAUUUGUUAAAGACGGACUACUGCGAAAGCAUCUGCCAUGGAUGUUUUCAUUGA
Molecule: ribosomal RNA, 380 nt
Filed under: uncultured eukaryote
Lineage: Eukaryota
Description: partial 18S ribosomal RNA
Rfam family: Eukaryotic small subunit ribosomal RNA
Source: RNAcentral